AGAAACCUCCAGAAUCUUCUAGUAGGAAGAUCAAGAUGAAGUUUUCAGAUCUUUGAGUAGAAAACUUGGUCCUUAAGUUAAAAACACAAGGACCACAUUGCAAAAUAGGCUUAAGGGUUGCCCUACUUUCUUCAACUAUAAAAAGGGACCUAUUCUGGCCUUGAAAAGGGGCUAGAAGAACCAGAAUUAAACAUAUACACAAUUAGUCGAAUUAGUAAAAUCGCUACUAUUCCAUUGGUUUUGCCAAUUACUGGUACUUUCAAGCUGAGGAAUAAUCUAUGAUUCAUUGGAGGCUUAGAGUGCAUUGCGAUUAGCUGUUUGUUUUUUUGGGUUUGAACAUUACAAUUUUGGUUUUUCCUUGUUGAAUCCUCUGUGUUAAAUUGCUGGGCCUGGGUUCACCUUGGUUGUGUCAUUGUUGAUUCCUAGUGCAAUUGCUGACUACUCACACACCCAUUUUCAUCUUUGCAUUUUCCAGGUAUUUCUCUAGUCUAUGUGAACUGUACAGUUGAGAAAAACUUGAAGCAAUACAAGCUAUACAAAUUAGAGUCUCCCUUAUUUCAUCGCUGUUAUUUUAAAUCAUUUAAUAAUUAUGUAGCAAUGAUGGUUGUUUAAGUUAAAAUGUACAAGGUGUAAACUCAAUUCCUUUACUGCUUGAUGAUAGGAGGGAUGCAGUUUUAACCAUUGUGUUGGACUGGGACUUGUGUGUUAGUCCCAUUACAUCUCUAGGAUGGGUCCUGUUGUUAGGUUUAAUUUGUCGUAGUUUACAAGUUGAUAUUUGGCCUGUUGAGACUCGACAUUGGGUUGGGUUUAAAGGUGCACUGCAUCUCUUGAAAGUGCAUAUAUGGAAGCCAUGGUAUCAAUCGACUUGGCCCAUUCAUGUACAGCCUCGCUUCAGCUGAAGUCUAGGGCUUAAUGUAUGUGCUAUUCCAUUCAUUGUUAAUUUGCUUGUUUUAUUCCAAUCCCAAGUAUUCGUAAGUUUGUCAGCGAAGAGGAGACUUAGGUCCCUUGUGUUCUGUGUUACAUAAACACCUGACAUAGCAAAUGAAAUAUAGGUUUGAGGGCUUACACAUUAAAGUUGGUACUGAUUUGAAGUUAACAUAAGUUUGUGGUUCGAUACUAGGUCCAUGAUCCUUAUUUUGGCUCAGCAUCAUCUGGGCUCAUUAAACGCAAGGGGGCAAAAAUUUAUCCCUUACAAAGUGAUAGUAACUCACUGGGCUUGUUAGGUCCAGACUUCAUUAUUCACCAAUUGCAAUCUUUAGUCAGUAACAAAAUUCCCAUAGAUUAAACUGAGAAAUGCCACGUCGCAAAUUUUCGAGGCUUUCACAAAUUAAUCGAAUAUUCAUUUUAGGUGCGCUACUUAAAUAAAUCACUUUUCUAAAUAGGGGUGCACAUUUAUGUGACCCAAAUCCAAAUCUCAACGAAGUUGCAAUGUGUCAAGAUCCACGGGUACAUUUAUGUGACGUGGUUUGAGGCAUGUUC
This 1479-nucleotide long non-coding RNA is filed under the name Nicotiana benthamiana. RNAcentral's name for it is "long non-coding RNA (NBEN_LNC036488)". The record is from RNAcentral. Lineage: Eukaryota; Viridiplantae; Streptophyta; Magnoliopsida; Solanales; Solanaceae.